GAUGAAGAACGUAGCGAAAUGCGAUAAGUAAUGCGAAUUCCAGAAUUCAGUGAGUCAUCGAAUCUUUGAACGCACAUUGCGCCCUGUGGUAUUCCGCAGGGCAUGCCUGUUCGAGCGUCAUUUCAACCCUCAAGCCCCGCUUGGUGUUGGGCCCCGCCCGCUGUGGCCGGCCCUAAAGACAGUGGCGGCGCCGCCUGGCCCUCAGCGUAGUACAUCUCUCGCUCCAGGGUCCGGUGGCCGCCUGCCAGAACCCCCCAACUCUGUGGUUGACCUCGGAUCAGGUAGGGAUACCCGCUGAACUUAAGCAUAUCAAUAAGCGGAGGA
Molecule: unclassified non-coding RNA, 324 nt
Filed under: soil metagenome
Description: partial contains 5.8S ribosomal RNA, internal transcribed spacer 2, and large subunit ribosomal RNA
Rfam family: 5.8S ribosomal RNA (bases 1-120)
Source: RNAcentral